CAUGUAAAUCUUUGUCUACGGGAGAAAGCUCAAAAUAAACAAAAGAGAGAGCAGCUGGAACACUUGUGGAAGGACAUGGGCAGCGUGUGUGUGCAGGGCAGCACACUGGCAGGACCUGGGUGAAAAGGACAUUCUCUGAGGUGCUGGGAGAAGGAGGACUCGUGCGGGCACCUCCAGAGACAGCGGGAACGGGAGCGUGCUGCGGAGAAGGAAAAUUCCAGGGGAAUUGCCACGAGAGGAAAUACUUCAGAGGGGCUUCCCUCCAGCUAAGCCCUGAAUAUGCCAGGAGGUUUCAGCCGGGAGGAAAGGAGCUGUGGAAGAAAAGCAGCCUAAAAAUAGCCAGCGGGGAUCAUCAGGUUUUCCAGCCAAGAAGAACAAGGAGAGAGAUGAGGGAAUCGGGUUCCAAUUCCUAAUGAUUUGGUGGGUGCAGGAAUGAUUUCUGUGUGUUUUCCAGUCCCUUUUGAUUCCUGAGAUGAUUUUAAAAUGAUGGCUUUAGCAAUCAACUAAAUCGGAGAUGUUGUUUUUGAGAGGAAAUGAUGCCAAAUAAAUGCAGAGUUUUGGGUCAGUUUUUGG
Long non-coding RNA from Pseudopipra pipra, 573 nucleotides. RefSeq lists it as uncharacterized. The record is from RefSeq and is a predicted model, not a curated record. The transcript is spliced from 3 exons. NCBI's taxonomy places the organism in Eukaryota, Metazoa, Chordata, Aves, Passeriformes, Pipridae.